RNAcentral lists this ribosomal RNA (445 nucleotides) under uncultured bacterium. Its description in RNAcentral is "partial 16S ribosomal RNA". It matches the Rfam family "Bacterial small subunit ribosomal RNA", at positions 354 to 796 of the family's 1533-position model. The record is from RNAcentral.
GUGAGGAAUAUUGGGCAAUGGGCGCAAGCCUGACCCAGCCAUGCCGCGUGCAGGAAGACGGUCCUAUGGAUUGUAAACUGCUUUUAUACGGGAAGAAACACUCCCUCGUGAGGGAGCUUGACGGUACCGUAAGAAUAAGGAUCGGCUAACUCCGUGCCAGCAGCCGCGGUAAUACGGAGGAUCCAAGCGUUAUCCGGAAUCAUUGGGUUUAAAGGGUCCGUAGGCGGCCUUAUAAGUCAGUGGUGAAAUCCCAUCGCUCAACGAUGGAACUGCCAUUGAUACUGUAAGGCUUGAAUAAUUGUGAAGUAACUAGAAUAUGUAGUGUAGCGGUGAAAUGCUUAGAUAUUACAUGGAAUACCAAUUGCGAAGGCAGGUUACUAACAAUUGAUUGACGCUGAUGGACGAAAGCGUGGGGAGCGAACAGGAUUAGAAACCCCGGUAGUCC